GACGAACGCUGGCGGCGUGCCUAAUACAUGCAAGUUGAGCGCUGAAGGUUGGUACUUGUACCAACUGGAUGAGCAGCGAACGGGUGAGUAACGCGUGGGGAAUCUGCCUUUGAGCGGGGGACAACAUCUGGAAACGAAUGCUAAUACCGCAUAAAACCUUUAAACACAAGAUUCAAGUUUGAAAGAUGCCAUUGCAUCACUCAAAGAUGAUUCCGCGUUGUAUUAGGUAGUUGGUGAGGUAAAGGCUCACCAAGGCGAUGAUACAUAGCCGACCUGAAUGGGUGGACGGCCAACUUGGGACUGGGACACGGCCCAAACUCCUACGGGAGGCAGCAGUAGGGAAUCUUCGGCAAUGGACGAAAGUCUGGACGAGCAAAGCUGGGGGGGUGAAGGAGGGUUUCGGAUCGGAAAACUCUGUUGGUAGGGAAGAAAGUGGGUGAGAGUGGAAAGCUCAUGAAGUGACGGUAACUAACCAGAAAGGAACGGCUAACUACGUG
This 497-nucleotide ribosomal RNA is filed under the name uncultured bacterium. RNAcentral's name for it is "partial 16S ribosomal RNA". It matches the Rfam family "Bacterial small subunit ribosomal RNA", at positions 28 to 507 of the family's 1533-position model. The record is from RNAcentral.